UACGUAGGGCGCAAGCGUUGUCCGGAAUUAUUGGGCGUAAAGAGCUCGUAGGCGGCCAGUUGCGUCUGCUGUGAAAUCCCGGGGCUCAACCCCGGGCGUGCAGUGGAUACGGGCUGGCUAGAGGCAGGCAGGGGAGAACGGAAUUCCCGGUGUAGCGGUGAAAUGCGCAGAUAUCGGGAGGAACACCGGUGGCUAAGGCGGUUCUCUGGGCCUGUACUGACGCUGAGGAGCGAAAGCGUGGGGAGCGAACAGG
This 253-nucleotide ribosomal RNA is filed under the name uncultured bacterium. RNAcentral describes it as "partial 16S ribosomal RNA". It matches the Rfam family "Bacterial small subunit ribosomal RNA", at positions 524 to 776 of the family's 1533-position model. The record is from RNAcentral.